Molecule: unclassified non-coding RNA, 1069 nt
Filed under: Athalia rosae (coleseed sawfly)
Lineage: Eukaryota; Metazoa; Arthropoda; Insecta; Hymenoptera; Athaliidae
Description: misc RNA ENSAEAG00005012894.1
Source: RNAcentral
CGAGUAUAUCGCGCAUGACCAACGUCCCCGCGUACUCUGUUACCAAAGUUCUUCUUCGCUUGGGUACCAUCGCAGACGUUCUCGCAUCGUAAAACUGCACGCGUUUGUUACUCGCUCGUUUCUUUGACCAAAUAUAAAAGAGAAAACACCAAGGGUUUUGAUAAUAAUAUAUAAAAACGGAAGUUGUUGCUUAAUCCCUUAUUGGUAAUGCAGCUAAGUCUGAAAUUACUGAGGUGCCUUUUAAUGCUGGUCGUUAUGGCUUGCAUCGUAGACGCUUUACCCAUUGGAAACCCAGAGGCCGCGAUCGAAAACAUGAGACAAAUACCACAAUGGCAUUGUUUGCGUUAUCGGAAAUUUGAUUUGGUACGUCGCUGCCGGCAUUAUCGCAUUGGAAGAAAACACUGAUAACUGUAUAAUUAAUCUAACGUUGGUGGAAUACCUCGAAUCUUUCGAUUUACACAACUGUCUUCUAAUAACCCGACGACAAAUUGUAUUCUCGUUAAAGUCAUUGAAUAUGUUAUCAUAUCUGCCAAGGCCUGAAUUUUUCGGACUCAAAUAAUUUGUAAGCAUCUUUUUUUGUAAGUAAUUAAUGAUAUUUAAUUAUAAGUGUUUUCCUUCUUAUUUCAUUUGUCAACUAACAACUUACAAUCUCUCUACAUCCGAAGACCGUUUAAAUAACAUGGCGAAUGAUACCGUUUUGUAUCGUCUUAAAAGUUUCAAGCCUUUUUUUAUGUGUCGUGAAAUCACCGAAGUCUGAUUAUUUAUUAUUGAGUAAUAAACGGCUGCAAAUAAUACUUCAUAUACUCAACUAUUUUGUUUUUAAUAGUUGGACUGAACGUUAACAUUUUUUAUCGUUUUUUCUUUUCUUUGUUUUUUGAAGAAAAACUAAAGAUCCACUACUCAAUAUAAUAAGAAUUAAAAAUACGCAUAAUCACCCAACAAUCUAUGUACCAAAGAAAUUUUUGAUUUAAAAUUAAAAGAAAAAAAAAGAAAAAAAUAAUAAGGGGAUAAAAAUAGAUAAGAUGUAUUUAUUUAUAGCAAAACUUAGCUGUUUUGAUCUCAUCCACGU